AUUGAACGCUGGCGGCAGGCCUAACACAUGCAAGUCGAGCGAGCGGCGGACGGGUGAGUAAUAUGUGGGAAACUGCCUGAUGGAGGGGGAUAACUACUGGAAACGGUAGCUAAUACCGCAUACCAUCGGAUGUGCCCAGAUGGGAUUAGCUGGUAGGUGUGGUAACGGCUCACCUAGGCGACGAUCCCUAGCUGGUAUGAGAGGAUGACCAGCCACACUGGAACUGAGACACGGUCCAGACGCCGACGGGAGGCAGCAGUGGGGAAUUUUGGACAAUGGGCGCAAGCCUGAUCCAGCAAUGCCGCGUGUCUGAAGAAGGCCUUCGGGUUGUAAAGGACUUUUGUCAGGGAAGCGGUACCUGAAGAAUAAGCACCGGCUAACUACGUGCCAGCAGCCGCGGUAAUUC
RNAcentral lists this ribosomal RNA (406 nucleotides) under uncultured bacterium. Its description in RNAcentral is "partial 16S ribosomal RNA". It matches the Rfam family "Bacterial small subunit ribosomal RNA", at positions 30 to 526 of the family's 1533-position model. The record is from RNAcentral.